RNAcentral lists this ribosomal RNA (702 nucleotides) under Unio tumidus. RNAcentral's name for it is "partial 16S ribosomal RNA". The record is from RNAcentral. Lineage: Eukaryota; Metazoa; Mollusca; Bivalvia; Unionida; Unionidae.
GUAUUAUUUAUUAACCAUUAAAAGAGCCCUCACUAAGACAAAACAUAAUUAGAUUAGUACUACCAAAUAAACUCUAACUUAUUAACUCCCGCAAGGAAUUUAAAACUAAAACCUUAGAAGUGAUUAAUUCACCUACCUUCUGCAUAAUGUAGUUGCAAGAAAUAAAAAUUAAACAUUGCUUCCCGAAAAGUGGAGAGCUACUAUAAGCAAUUUUAACCUUUAAUGUAACACUAUUAAAAAACAGCUUAUAAUAGCAGCGAAAUACCUAUCGAGCCACUUGAUAGCUGGUUGUCCCUUAAAUACAUAUAAGUGUACUCUUACAGUAUAGAUCAACACUAUUUCUCUGUAAGAAAAACCCUAAGAGGGACAAGCUUCUUAGGGCUACUAGAAACAAGGUAAUACCAGUACUUCAAAAAGGCUUAAAAACAGCCAAAUAUAUCCGUUAUAGGAAACGGCACCAAAAACCAAAAUAAAUUAACAAAUUCUAACCUAUUAAGGGACCUUACAGGUCAACUAAUUCUUUAACGAACCGGCAAUUAUUAGUAUCACAAAGUCACACAAUAUAAGUUUACCACUAUAAAUAAACAACCACAAAUAAUCAAUCACUCUAACCUACUAUUGGUAAUGAAUUCGGCAAAACCUUUCUUUGCCUGUUUAUCAAAAACAUCGUCUUUUGAUACCACAUUUAUAAAAGAUACUGCC